Varroa destructor (honeybee mite) is the source of this 1486-nucleotide long non-coding RNA. RefSeq lists it as uncharacterized. Lineage: Eukaryota; Metazoa; Arthropoda; Arachnida; Mesostigmata; Varroidae. The record is from RefSeq and is a predicted model, not a curated record.
CCAAUGCUCCUGUUACGCGGACCUGGUUGGAUCAACAUAUUGCGUUGCCUACACACACGUAAAAAUUCUCCAUCAAAUCAACCACGUAGAGGGUUCUGUGCCUCUUAACAUGGUACUAUGCGGCGAGAUCGUGUAGAUGAUUGAGACUAACUUUCUAGAGAAACAGUACCAUAAAGCCCCACAAGACGGCACUCGUUUAUUUGUCGUAUACCAAAUGAUGACACUGGUUCCAAAGUACAGCCGGGCUCUUGGUCUCCCUGGCUGGCGCGAGAACAACAGUUCGUGAAAGGUAUAUAGCUACGUCUACUGCUUACUAUAAUUUUUUUGAUGUUUUCAUGUGGUGUCAAUAUAAAUAGCUAGCGCCCUCCAGCGACCCUUUUUUCUUCUACGUUGCUGGUCCGGACACGAAGAUGCAGCGAUUUUAUGGGGAUAUCGCGCCAAUGAUAACGACGAUAGUGGUGAUGGUCAUGAAGAUAAUACACGCAUUGAUAAUCUAUUCGAUGCGGGUAGGAAGGGCAUAACCACAGUGUAUUAUAUGGUGGAUGAAUGUUUAAGUAUCUAGAACAUAGUCUGUUUGCAACGAACAAAAAAAACUUGCCAUUAAUUGCCAAGAGCCCAAAUAACUUAGUAAAAAAAUAAGCAAAUAAGAUUUGUUUUAUGGUCCACGAGCUCUACGGUGUAGAUGUUUGUUGUGUAUACGUUUAGUUAGUUGGCAAGAAGCAUAAGCUCGUAAUACUUGAUAAAUAAUUAUCUCGAGUGGAACUGUAUUUGUAACGUAACUGCGAACUGUGUUUGUUUUCAAGUGAAAUUAAUUUAUUUAGCUAUAGGCGGCUGGCUCAGAGAGUUACCAUGGAAAAGUAUUUGCGCCGAGUUCUUACUUCUGUUAUAUUUCGUCCAGCUUAACUGACGCUUUUCAGUGAUGGAAAAUUAUCUCCUAUAUACUAUAUGCAUCUGUGAUUCUCAAUAAUGGUGCUACCGGCUCAACAAAGCGGCACGUAUCUGUGCGGACGUAUGAAGGAAAUGCUCCUUAUAUCAGAAUAUAGACAUAGUUCACUGUCGGCCGAAAAGCAGUAAUAAAACAAAGCAUGAUUUGACUCUCAUCUGAGAAUGGAAGCGUCUGUUGCAUAAGAGUCGCACCGUCCCGGCGGGCAAACGAAAUUUUAUACGUCUUCGUCUCGUCGAAAGACCAAGAACACGUUUCAGUCUCUGAGGGAGUAAAUGGAAGACGAUGAUAUCGUUCGAAACCUGGGAAGACUGAAAUUUUCAUAACUGCUAUUUACAAAAGGUCUAAAGAUAAGAAAUUGAGAUAUUGUCUUUUUCCUAACACGUACUCAUACUGUUUUAUAUUUCCGGUUCCUCGAUGAUACAAUAUAGACUACUUCGCUACUCCAUCUACUUUAUUGAAGCACAGUUAACCAUCAAAUCCUUCACGUCCUCUUUUUUUGAUUCGCAUUAUUUAAUUUGCAAAACAUAUUUUUAAUUGACA